RNAcentral lists this ribosomal RNA (669 nucleotides) under Triticum aestivum (bread wheat). Its description in RNAcentral is "partial small subunit ribosomal RNA". The record is from RNAcentral. Lineage: Eukaryota; Viridiplantae; Streptophyta; Magnoliopsida; Poales; Poaceae.
AUGGACCCGGCUGAGAUUUUGAACGUCAAGUUUCAUAUAGGGGGGCAGUUUGUUCGAAUUGGUCCUUCUCUGGACUAUGUCGGGGGAGAUGUGGCCUACUCUGAGAUUGAGAGGGACAAGGUGUCCUUGCAGGAGGUCAAGGGUUUUCUUGCAGAUCAUUUGACAGUAAAGGAAAGCAUGAAGUUUUAUUUUCUUAUGCCUGGCAGAGACUUGAUUAAUGGGCUACUGUUUCUACAUGAUGAUGCGGGUUGCAUGAUGAUGUCAGAUCAGACAACAAAUGGUGGAGUUGCAGAAAUUUUUGUGGAGUACAAUGGGGAACAGGAUGAAGAAGGAGAGCAGGAGAGUGGCUCUGAUUUUGAGGAUGAAAUUCAGGAUCAUAUGCAGGAAAGUGAAGAAGAUAUGCCUAUUGUCAUGACUGCUGAAGAAGUGCAAUUGGAUCAUCAGAAUGACAAUGCAGAUGAAGAAUUAGUACAACAAGUGCUUGUCCCCAAUGACAAUGGUGUUGUUACUGCAGUGAUAAGCAGCCCAUUGAAGAGAAGAAGUUCUGAAGCUUGCAAUCUUUCUCAGAGUUCUCAAGUGUGCAAUCCUUCUCAGCCUGCAACACUGCCCACAGUAGCAGUUUCAGCAAGAUAUAAAGCAACAACACAAGGAUCAGGCUUGCAACAAUAG